Pneumocystis jirovecii is the source of this 80-nucleotide transfer RNA. It matches the Rfam family "tRNA". Rfam says of the family: Transfer RNA (tRNA) molecules are approximately 80 nucleotides in length. Their secondary structure includes four short double-helical elements and three loops (D, anti-codon, and T loops). NCBI's taxonomy places the organism in Eukaryota, Fungi, Ascomycota, Pneumocystomycetes, Pneumocystales, Pneumocystaceae. The record is from Rfam.
GUCCAUUUGGCGCAAUGGUAGCGCAUUCCUCUCCUAAUUGUUAGAAGGAAAGGUUGCGGGUUCGAGUCCCGUAAUGGAUG